GACGAACGCUGGCGGCGUGCUUAACACAUGCAAGUCGAACGGUAAGGCCCUUCGGGGUACACGAGUGGCGAACGGGUGAGUAACACGUGGGUGAUCUGCCCUGCACUCCGGGAUAAGCCUGGGAAACUGGGUCUAAUACCGGAUAGGACUCCGGACUGCAUGGUCUGGGGUGGAAAGCUUUUGCGGUGUGGGAGUGGGCCCGCGGCCUAUCAGCUUGUUGGUGGGGUGAUGGCCUACCAAGGCGACGACGGGUAGCCGGCCUGAGAGGGUGACCGGCCACAUGGGGGUGUGGAUCCGGCCCAGACUCCUGGGGGGGGCAGCAGGGGGUAAUAUAGCACAGGGGGCGAAGGCCUGAUGCAGCGCCGCGGGGGGAGGGAGGACGGCUUUCGGGUUGUAAACCUCUUUCAGCUUCGACGAAGCGAAAGUGAGGGUAGGGGCAGAAGAAGACCCGGCCAACUACGUGCCAGCCGCCGCCGAAA
Molecule: ribosomal RNA, 479 nt
Filed under: uncultured bacterium
Lineage: Bacteria
Description: partial 16S ribosomal RNA
Rfam family: Bacterial small subunit ribosomal RNA
Source: RNAcentral